CCCUAGUAACGGCGAGUGAAGCGGCAACAGCUCAAAUUUGAAAUCUGGCUCUUUCAGGGUCCGAGUUGUAAUUUGCAGAGGGCGCUUUGGCGUUGGCAGCGGUCCAAGUUCUUUGGAACAGGACGUCACAGAGGGUGAGAAUCCCGUACGUGGUCGCUAGCCUUCGCCGUGUAAAGCCCCUUCGACGAGUCGAGUUGUUUGGGAAUGCAGCUCUAAAUGGGAGGUAAAUUUCUUCUAAAGCUAAAUACUGGCCAGAGACCGAUAGCGCACAAGUAGAGUGAUCGAAAGAUGAAAAGCACUUUGGAAAGAGAGUCAAAUAGCACGUGAAAUUGUUGAAAGGGAAGCGCUUGCAGCCAGACUUGCCUGUAGUUGCUUAUCCGGACUUUUGUCCGGUGCACUCUUCUGCGGGCAGGCCAGCAUCAGUUUGGGCGGUUGGAUAAAGGUCUCUGUCAUGUACCUCCUUUCGGGGAGGCCUUAUAGGGGAGACGACAUGCAACCAGCCUGGACUGAGGUCCGCGCAUCUGCUAGGAUGCUGGCGUAAUGGCUGUAAGCGGCCCGUCUUGAAACACGGACCAAGGAGUCUAACAUCUAUGCGAGUGUUUGGGUGUCAAGCCCAGACGCGUAAUGAAAGUGAACGGAGGUGGGAACCUUUUAGGUGCACCAUCGACCGAUCCUGAUGUCUUCGGAAGGAUUUGAGUAAGAGCAUGGCUGUUGGGACCCGAAAGAUGGUGAACUAUGCUUGAAUAGGGUGAAGCCAGAGGAAACUCUGGUGGAGGCUCGCAGCGGUUCUGACGUGCAAAUCGAUCGUCAAAUUUGGGCAUAGGGGCGAAAGACUAAUCGA
This 841-nucleotide ribosomal RNA is filed under the name Neostagonospora caricis. Its description in RNAcentral is "LSU rRNA". It matches the Rfam family "Eukaryotic large subunit ribosomal RNA", at positions 78 to 938 of the family's 3401-position model. Lineage: Eukaryota; Fungi; Ascomycota; Dothideomycetes; Pleosporales; Phaeosphaeriaceae. The record is from RNAcentral.